Molecule: long non-coding RNA, 1497 nt
Organism: Esox lucius (northern pike)
Lineage: Eukaryota; Metazoa; Chordata; Actinopteri; Esociformes; Esocidae
Source: Ensembl
CCACUGUGAUAGCAAGGCGUUUACGGUGUAUCCCUCAGAGAAAUUAACGCUUUUAUGACAAAUUCUUUUACAGGUUAUACCAUAGACUGUAUAUGGGUUAUACCAAGAAAGGGAGCGUCCAUUUUCCAGAGUUUACACAGUAAACGCCGUGUGGGUGAAAUUUUAAAGAUGAUACUCUGACGUCCCAUUCCCGCGAAGGCAGCACGGAGCUGCGCCACACGAAGCUGACGGAAACACUGAAGAAGAGUUAUGAUACACCUCGCAAUGGCGUAAACUGGCAUGUUUUAAUGUUGCAGACCAUAGUUUUGUGCUUGUAGUUGAAACUUUAAUCUCGUAUUGUUGUGAAUCUUCGGUAUAAACUCGAAAUAAAACAAAGGGCACCUCAACACCCCCUUUCCAAAAUAUUGCUUCGAGCGCCCCCCGUCGUCCUCUGAACGGCCCAUGGGGGGACGGUACCGCCCCCGUUGAGAAACACUGCAGUAUAAUGAUGUGCAUAUGGCUAAAAAGACAGGAUUUACAGUAUUUCUUUCUCAUCUUUUACACUGACAACAUGUUAAGUCUAUGACGAAUUUCAAUAGCUUACUGUCAACAUACAACAAUUGGACGUGCAUUAAUGAUCGUUCUGAAUUGGUCCCUGCAAUAUAAGAGGCAGGGCUUUUUUCUAUAGAGCUCCAUAUGCCGAUGCGCCACAGACUCAGUCUCAACCUAUAAUUCUUUGCUAAAGACUCACCUUGUCAGAGAGCUCUGUGUUCUGUACCUCCCUUAGGUGGACUCUGUGGUUAUGAAGUCAUUUGAGCACCUUGUGCUGUCCCGCCUCCAGACCAUCACCGACUCACUACUAGACUCAGCAGUUUGCCUACCGAACCAACAGCUCCCCUGCAGAAAGGCUCAUGUCCGCCAGGGGGCACCAACAACAACAGAAACCCUCCCAGCACCCACCAGAUGGGGAGACGAACCAACCUCAAGUGAAAAUCAUCCAUACGACCAGACUCAGAGUCAGCCUGAACCAGACAUUGACUGCUUCGGUCAGCUGGUCUGGAGAUGUAGUUUCCUCGAGACCUGGAAAUCCAGCUGAGACUCUGGGUAUCUCCGGGUGACCUGAACAGAGGUAAGAGUGUUUGACCAAGAUGAUCCACAGCUGAAAAAUUAGAGGAUCGGGUCUAAUAUGGCACCCAACAGUAAUCAGCAGAUGCUGUGGGUUGGGUGGCCUAGUACAGUUAUGCACUCAUCUUGCACUUGUCUACUCCACCACCACGCCUUGUGACCUCAGAUAUUCCACAGCUUGCUCAAGGAGUAUUGUGUUAUGCCUUCCAUCAAAAUGCAAGAUGCCAGCAGUAUACCAAGCCUCAUGGAACGUAAUUUCACCUCAACAUCAUGUUGCCUCAGGUGGUCCCACUGUCGAAAUGAUUGCCUCUGGUACAUACAGUGGGGAGAACAAGUAUUUGAUAAACUGCCGAUUUUGCAGGUUCCCACUUACAAAGCAUGUAGAAGUCUGUA